This 773-nucleotide ribosomal RNA is filed under the name uncultured Glomeromycotina. RNAcentral describes it as "eukaryotic LSU rRNA". It matches the Rfam family "Eukaryotic large subunit ribosomal RNA", at positions 49 to 665 of the family's 3401-position model. The record is from RNAcentral. Lineage: Eukaryota; Fungi; Glomeromycota.
AGCGGAGGAAAAGAAAAUAACAAUGAUUCCCUCAGUAACGGCGAGCGAAGAGGGAUAAGCUCAAAUUUUAAAUCUGUUGGGUUCCACUUAACAGAGUUGUAUUUUGAAGAAACGUUUUCUGCGUCCAGGAUUAGCCUAAAUCCUUUGGGAUAAGGUAUCAUGGAGGGUGAGAAUCCCGUUCAUGGUUAAUCUUAAGGAAGCUCUACGAUACGUUUUCCAAGAGUCGAGUUGUUUGGGAUUGCAGCUCAAAAUGGGAGGUAAAUUUCUCCUAAGGCUAAAUAUUGGCGAGAGACCGAUAGCGAACAAGUACCGUGAGGGAAAGAUGAAAAGAACUUUGAAAAGAGAGUUAAACAGUACGUGAAAUUGUUGAAAGGGAAACGAUUGAAGUCAGUCAUACCAACGGGAAAUCAACCUUUUGAGCUYGGUCUCGUGGGUUUUGAAGAGUUUCAAAGCCUUCGGAUUCGCGGGAUUGGGAUCUCUUGGUGUACUUUUUCGUACGGUUAGUCAACAUCGGUUUUGAAUGUCAUAAAAUGACUGGAGGAAUGUAGCUUCGAUCUCGUAUUGAAGUGUUAUAGCCUUUGGUAGAUGUGAUGUUUGAGACCGAGGAUUGCAACGGAUACCCUUCAGGGCUAUUCGUCUGAUCUCUGAUACGUUGCCUUGAUGUUGAAAGCUUGCUUAUGAUGUUAGGGUAUUACGGUCAAAAGGUUAGAACGAAUUACAUUCGUUAAGGAUGUUGACGUAAUGACUUUAAACGACCCGUCUUGAACAACGGA